Molecule: long non-coding RNA, 976 nt
Filed under: Equus asinus (donkey)
Lineage: Eukaryota; Metazoa; Chordata; Mammalia; Perissodactyla; Equidae
Description: lncRNA (ENSEASG00005026652.1)
Source: RNAcentral
CAGCGUCCUCGUGAGUCCCCCCACCCCGUCCCAAGGUGACUUCUCAAAGUCCCACAGAAAGACACUUUUCAAGUCUCAGGGACAUAAAGGACCACGAAACAUGACAGUAUGUGCAAAUACUACACAUACCAGGUAAACUGCGAAAUUUCAACCAGGCUUCUACUUGUUUUGCUCCCCAGCUUUUCCAGCCAGAAACUGAAAAGGAAAGUUCCGUGCGCCCUCUUGUGGGCAGAUGUAGCGCUGCAGGGCCUCGCCCACCCACCCCGGCCCGUGGGAGGAGCCGAAGGAGACGGACCGGGCACCGCCGCCCUCGCGACCCACGUUCUAGCGGAGGCAGACGGGAAAAGAAGCAGACAGAUGGGCAAGGUCCUCUCAGAAAACGAAAGGAAAGAACGUACAAUAGGGCGAUGUGACAGAGUGCCUUGGAGGGGGGAGGUGGCUGGGUAGGGGUACAGGGUGGAUGUUGAAGGCUGGCUGGCUAGGGGAGCAGAUGGCUGAGCUGAGCUCAAAAGGACAAGAAGUUACCAACCACGUUGGAGAGCAGCAGACUCAUGGGGGCGGACGUGCACCGGACAGCUCGAGACUCCUCUGGCCUCGGGGACCUGGUUUCAGGAGCAAGCUUCAGAGGCCUUGCGGAAGUUGAGGAAAGCAAUAGGAUCCCCUCCACCUAUGAGAUCUGGGCACCUGUGAGCUUUGGAGAGAAACUGAUGGAGUGAAAGAAACAAACAGGGGUCAAUACAAUGCUGGGAGCUGCCGGAAAGGAAGGAACACCAAGGUAGGGCGGACGCAUGCCUUUCACGGCAGAGAGUCGGCCGACACUGAAUUGAAUACAAUCCUGUCAAACAGGACAAAUCAACCAGAGGCUCAUCAAUUAAUCUGUGCCUGAUGCCUACACGUACAUGGACCUCCUGAAUGUGAUUUUAACAGAGUCAGCCAGAGCUGCCCGGAAGGAGGAGGUCCUUCCUGGAGCCCCGAC